This 883-nucleotide ribosomal RNA is filed under the name uncultured beta proteobacterium. RNAcentral's name for it is "bacterial SSU rRNA". It matches the Rfam family "Bacterial small subunit ribosomal RNA", at positions 37 to 916 of the family's 1533-position model. The record is from RNAcentral. Lineage: Bacteria; Pseudomonadati; Pseudomonadota; Betaproteobacteria.
CAGUAGGGGGCAGCUUAACAUGCAAGUCGACGGCAGCACGGGGGCAACCCUGGUGGCGAGUGGCGAACGGGUGAGUAAUACAUCGGAACGUGCCCAGUAGUGGGGGAUAGCCCGGCGAAAGCCGGAUUAAUACCGCAUACGACCUACGGGUGAAAGCGGGGGAUCGCAAGACCUCGCGCUAUCGGAGCGGCCGAUGUCAGAUUAGGUUGUUGGUGAGGUAAAAGCUCACCAAGCCGACGAUCUGUAGCUGGUCUGAGAGGACGACCAGCCACACUGGGACUGAGACACGGCCCAGACUCAUACGGGAGGCAGCAGUGGGGAAUUUUGGACAAUGGGGGCAACCCUGAUCCAGCCAUGCCGCGUGCGGGAAGAAGGCCUUCGGGUUGUAAACCGCUUUUGUCAGGGAAGAAAUCUUCCGGGCCAAUACCCCGGAAGGAUGACGGUACCUGAAGAAUAAGCACCGGCUAACUACGUGCCAGCAGCCGCGGUAAUACGUAGGGUGCAAGCGUUAAUCGGAAUUACUGGGCGUAAAGCGUGCGCAGGCGGUUGUGCAAGACAGGUGUGAAAUCCCCGGGCUUAACCUGGGAACUGCACUUGUGACUGCACAGCUGGAGUACGGCAGAGGGGGAUGGAAUUCCGCGUGUAGCAGUGAAAUGCGUAGAUAUGCGGAGGAACACCGAUGGCGAAGGCAGUCCCCUGGGCCUGUACUGACGCUCAUGCACGAAAGCGUGGGGAGCAAACAGGAUUAGAUACCCUGGUAGUCCACGCCCUAAACGAUGUCAACUGGUUGUUGGGAAGGUUCCUUCUCAGUAACGUAGCUAACGCAUUAAGCGCCCCGCCUGGGGAGUACGGCCGCAAGGUUAAAACUCAAAGGAAUUGACGG